This 550-nucleotide ribosomal RNA is filed under the name uncultured bacterium. RNAcentral describes it as "bacterial SSU rRNA". It matches the Rfam family "Bacterial small subunit ribosomal RNA", at positions 355 to 896 of the family's 1533-position model. The record is from RNAcentral.
UAGGGAAUCUUCCGCAAUGGACGCAAGUCUGACGGAGCAACGCCGCGUGAGUGAAGAAGAUUUUCGGAUCGUAAAACUCUGUUGUUAGAGAAGAACAAGUGCUAGAGUAACUGUUAGCGCCUUGACGGUAUCUAACCAGAAAGCCACGGCUAACUACGUGCCAGCAGCCGCGGUAAUACGUAGGUGGCAAGCGUUGUCCGGAUUUAUUGGGCGUAAAGCGAGCGCAGGCGGUUCCUUAAGUCUGAUGUGAAAGCCCCCGGCUCAACCGGGGAGGGUCAUUGGAAACUGGGGAACUUGAGUGCAGAAGAGGAGAGUGGAAUUCCAUGUGUAGCGGUGAAAUGCGUAGAUAUAUGGAGGAACACCAGUGGCGAAGGCGACUCUCUGGUCUGUAACUGACGCUGAGGCUCGAAAGCGUGGGUAGCAAACAGGAUUAGAUACCCUGGUAGUCCACGCCGUAAACGAUGAGUGCUAAGUGUUGGAGGGUUUCCGCCCUUCAGUGCUGCAGUUAACGCAUUAAGCACUCCGCCUGGGGAGUACGACCGCAAGGUUG